UACGGGGGGGGCAAGCGUUGUUCGGAAUUAUUGGGCGUAAAGGGCUCGUAGGCAGUCUGUCACGUCGGGAGUGAAAACUCAGGGCUUAACCCUGAGCCUGCUUCCGAUACGGGCAGACUAGAGGUAUGCAGGGGAGAACGGAAUUCCUGGUGUAGCGGUGAAAUGCGCAGAUAUCAGGAGGAACACCGGUGGCGAAGGCGGUUCUCUGGGCAUUACCUGACGCUGAGGAGCGAAAGUGUGGGGAGCGAACAGG
This 253-nucleotide ribosomal RNA is filed under the name uncultured bacterium. RNAcentral describes it as "partial 16S ribosomal RNA". It matches the Rfam family "Bacterial small subunit ribosomal RNA", at positions 524 to 776 of the family's 1533-position model. The record is from RNAcentral.